GUCUGCGGUGCUCAUUUGUUCGGACAGCGCAUAGAACUGAAAUGAUACAGAGAAGACUAACAUGGCCGCUGCACAGGACGACAGGCAGACUCAUGACGCAUCCUGUACUUGU
Molecule: small nuclear RNA, 112 nt
Organism: Peromyscus californicus insignis
Lineage: Eukaryota; Metazoa; Chordata; Mammalia; Rodentia; Cricetidae
Source: RefSeq, a predicted model, not a curated record